RNAcentral lists this unclassified non-coding RNA (359 nucleotides) under Hevea brasiliensis (rubber tree). The record is from RNAcentral. Lineage: Eukaryota; Viridiplantae; Streptophyta; Magnoliopsida; Malpighiales; Euphorbiaceae.
GGGAAUUCGACAGCCGGCGUGGUGGCGCAGCUGGCGGCAGCGAAGGCGGCGUCGGGGAAGACGCACGGCCAGAUCGCCGUCGAGACAGGGCUGACCAACGUGUACGUGGCCCAGCUGCUGCGGCGCCAGGCCCAGCUGAAGCCCGCCACCGCCCCCGCUCUCCGCGCCGCCCUCCCCGCCCUCACUGACGACCUUAUUGCCGAGAUGAUGGCGCCGCUCACCCGCUCAUACCGUCCCGAUCUCCUCCAAGAUCCCGCCUUGUACCGACUUAGCGAAGCCAUUAUGCAUUUUGGAGAGAGUAUCAAGGAAAUCAUUCACGAGGACUUUGGCGAUGGCAUUAUGUCAGCUAUAGAUUUUUA